Molecule: long non-coding RNA, 1577 nt
Filed under: Equus asinus (donkey)
Lineage: Eukaryota; Metazoa; Chordata; Mammalia; Perissodactyla; Equidae
Description: lncRNA (ENSEASG00005028782.1)
Source: RNAcentral
CGGAAGGGCAUGCUGUUUGGUUCUUUAAAACUUCCUGCCAAACUGAAGCAACUGAGAAACUGAACAUACACAGAUAUUUGGGGACUAACUCAAUAAUGAAUCUGAAGACCAAAGCCAUUAAGUGACCUAAGAAUGGUCCCCCACUGGUCAGUGCAGUGCCAAGACAGAGCAUUACAAGGCUUUGGUUAAAAACAGGCUCUGCAGUCAGUCCGCUCAAGUCCACAUCCCACGUUCCUAUUUGCCAGCUGUGUGACCUCAGAGGAAGGAUACAAAACAACAACUUAAAAAUAUUUCAAAGCACCUCAAUUGCUGAAGAGUCACUUUGACUGGAGUUUGACAGGAAUGCCAAUAUCCAGCUGCCCUUGACAUUGUGGAAAAAGUGAAAUGCAAUGGAAACAGCCCCAGAGUCUCCUUUCCAGUCCAGGCUCUGCCACUUGACAAGCCAUAGUCAAGUUACUCAAGCUCUGGGUCACCAUCUGUAAAAUGGGGAAAGAAGACUCCAAAUCCAGUGUUUCUCAUCACCAUGUGAAAGCAGAGUAAAGGCAAAAGGCCAGCAAAGGCAACUGAAGAUAAUCAGACAUUCCUGAGAAGAAAUCCAGCUCUGCCUUCGUUAACCACCUCUCUUUUCUGGGAUGCUGCUACAGCAUGGGUGGAUGAGCAGUGCUAGGUCCACGUCCAGGAUCUGAACCCAUGGACUCCAGGCCGCUGAAGUGGAGGGCAUGAACUUAACCACUAUGCCAUUGGGCCAGCACCAACUUCCAACUUUUUAAGAGCAAGUUAACUGAUUUGCAGAAUAAAGAUGGAUCAAGUUAAAAACAUACAUUUACACACAUAACACUGUGUGUGUGUGUGUGCCCAUGUAAAUUAGGAGAAUAUACAUGAUAUUUUAAAAAAUAUCAUGACAAUUAUUGCCUCUGGGAUCAAACACACAGCGCUCUGACCUCAACUCCAACUCCACCAGGGGCAUCUCUGUCUCCUUGGCCUCCCCCAGCACCUUCCCAUCCUUCAAUCUUACUAUCGCCGCCCAUCACCCUAUUACCCAAUCCUGGUCAAGAUUUGGUCUCAUUUCCCUCUUCUCUAAUAGCUGCUGCCUAACCUCCCCACUUAUGCAGUUCAGCCAGGGAGAUGAUUUGGGUCAUGUCCCUCCCGUCCCCUACAACAGUUAACUUGCACCCACAUGAUGCAAAGCUUUUACAGAUUAUUGGGGAUUAUUUGUGACCUUCCGACACUUUGCCCACUCCAAGUCCCCCCACCCCUGCCAAACACCACAUACCACCACUAUCAACACUUUUCUCUGAGUUAAUUUAUAUUUCACUCUUUGACUUUUCCACACCUUGCCUUCCAAGUGGCCCGUGAGCUUAUGUCUCUACACCUUUAUGACAAGGAAAUAAUUUCCUCUUGAAGAUGCAUCCUAUUUGAUAUCUUGAUAACUCUGAAAAAUUGCUUUCUUCUGCUUGGCCAAACUCUUCUUUUGGAUAAUAUUAGUCUGAGUUUUCUCUUCCCUUUAAUGAUCCUUUAAAAAAACAACCUUUAUCUAAUCCCUUUUCCAUGAAGUCAGGUCUUCAGAUAAGAUCUAU